GCGCGGAGCCCCAUAGGUAUAGAAAUGGUCUAUAACUAGGCGACUCAGUUAUUGUGGUCAAUGAAGUUAUUGUCACAAGCUGCCAUACAGCCAGCCGCGAUCUGCCUCGGCACACAGGCCUCCAGAGCGCGCAAAACAAUAUGGCGGAUGAGUAUUUCUGGCCCUCUCAAAAACACACGAAAACUGACUACAGAAAAGCCAAGAAUUGUCGAAAAAGAAGUGCUUGAAAAAAAUCUUUCGUGGGAAUGCUAACCACGGAUAUGAACUUGUCUAAUUAUGUGCAAAAGACUGUUUAAAAGCAUGGUUGAAAGUUUUGAAGAGUCAAGUCUUGUGCUCGAGUCAAGGUCAGCUGAAAUGUCAGAGUAAGCCACAAGAUAAAGAAAGAAAAAAACAAGCUAAUUUUAUAGAGACCUUCUCCAACAAGUGCUCCUAUGUAUUUGUUCUUGCACUGGCAGACGUAGGUUAAUCUCAGCCAGAGAUUCUGAAAUCAAGCUGAGACACAAGCUGCUGGCUAAGAGGCAUGACCCAGGGGAUGUACAUAUAAGGCAUUGGUAGUUAAUGUAGGUCACCAAAAAUAAACACAUAUAAAGUAACAAAAAGUAAGAUAAUAUUUUAAUGGAAAAAAAAAUCUGCUCCGCUGGGAUCACCACCUUACCGUGGUGGAGUGGUUUGUAUGUCCCAAUGACCUCUAGAGCUGCCGAACAGGUCGAAAGGUAGGGGCCAGACUAUAACCAUCCAGGGUAAAGUGCUUGAGUCCGUGGAGGAAUUUACCUACUUAGGCAGCCUCAUUAGCAAGGAUAAUGGAGCCAAAAAAGACAUUCUAUCAAGGCUAGGUAAGGCACGUGGAACCUUUGCACGACUUAACCCCAUCUGGAAGUCCAAGCAGUAUAGCUUAAAGACCAAGCUACGAUUGUACAACAGCAACGUGAAAUCAGUUCUUUUUUAUGGAUCUGAGUGCUGGCGCGUUGUAAAGGCAGACAUGGACAAGAUCAGUGCCUUCCAUAAUGGGUGUCUGCGGAAGAUAUGACGUAUCUUUUGGCCUCAGAAAAUAUUCAACGAAGAUCUUUACUGUAAAACGGGAUCAUAUAACAUCACCCAAGAGAUAAAACGCCGCCGGCUAAAGUGGCUGGGUCAUGUCCUCAGGAUGGGGCAGGAGCGUAUCCCAAGGACAUCAGCCUUAUGGACUCCUAUCGGGAAACGUAAGCCUGGACGGCCUAAAACAACUUGGUGAAGAAAAAUCCAGGCUGAGCUGCUAGAGAUGGGAUUGACUUGGGGCGAGGCACUAAAAGUUGUAAAGGACCGCCAAGAGUGGCGUCACCGUGUCGCGGCCCUAUUUCCCACUAGGGAAGAUGGGGAUAAGUAAGAAGUUAAUGGAAAAAUUGUUCUAAAAAAAUGAACCAGAGUUAUAAAAGUAAAAAAACCAAGUUUUUUUCUAAGUUAGCCUGACAGGUUCUUGUAUAAUGUGUGGUUAGUGACAUUUAGGCUAUUUAUGUUCAUAAAUAGUCUCUUGCUAUUACAAUGACUCAUUGAGGUAGUAAGUUAAUCAUAAAAAACAAAAAAAGGUCUCCCAAAUGAUCCCUUAAGAUCAUAUUUAAAACUAUUUAGAAAUCAAUUUUCCUAUUUCAACCUAUUUCAAAUUAUAGGAUAAAUAGAUGCUUAUAAAAAGGAUUCUAAUUUGAUAAUUUUAGGUUAACAGGUUCAUUCUAGGUUCUUAUAUGUGGUUCUUUACUGUAUAAUAAAAUAAUGUACUCAUAAUUUUUUCAAAUAUGUUGGAGUGCUUUUAAUCCACCCAUAGCAAAGUUACAUUUUAAAGCACAAGAGAGAGGUUAAUAAAGAUAUUUUUCCAAUAUUUGAAUUGCUAAUUUUAAAACUUACACAAGAGAAAGAAAAUGAUAAAGCCCUAUCUUUGCAAGUUAAGUAAAGUAAUUUAAAGAAGUAAAAGGAAUUGGGAGUACAGGCAGGGAAUGACUACUUUUACCUCAAAUUCACUUUUGAUAGUGUGAUUUGCUGAUAUACUUAUUAAUGUAUAGAAAUUUGAUAUGUAUUUGUUUAUUGUUUUUAAUUUUGAAGAGAAUAAAAUAGCACCCAGUUUUUUAUGAGGAACUUUAAUUGAUCCUCAUUUUAAAAUAAAUAUGACCUCCCUUCACAC
Long non-coding RNA from Nematostella vectensis (starlet sea anemone), 2149 nucleotides. RefSeq lists it as uncharacterized. The transcript is spliced from 2 exons. The record is from RefSeq and is a predicted model, not a curated record. Lineage: Eukaryota; Metazoa; Cnidaria; Anthozoa; Actiniaria; Edwardsiidae.